RNAcentral lists this ribosomal RNA (492 nucleotides) under uncultured bacterium. Its description in RNAcentral is "partial 16S ribosomal RNA". It matches the Rfam family "Bacterial small subunit ribosomal RNA", at positions 29 to 507 of the family's 1533-position model. The record is from RNAcentral.
AGUGAACGCUGGCGGUAGGCCUAACACAUGCAAGUCGAACGGCAGCACAGUAAGAGCUUGCUCUUACGGGUGGCGAGUGGCGGACGGGUGAGGAAUACAUCGGAAUCUACUUUUUCGUGGGGGAUAACGUAGGGAAACUUACGCUAAUACCGCAUACGACCUACGGGUGAAAGCAGGGGGUCUUCGGACCUUGCGCGAUUGAAUGAGCCGAUGUCGGAUUAGCUAGUUGGCGGGGUAAAGGCCCACCAAGGCGACGAUCCGUAGCUGGUCUGAGAGGAUGAUCAGACACACUGGAACUGAGACACGGUCCAGACUCCUACGGGAGGCAGCAGUGGGGAAUAUUGGACAAUGGGCGCAAGCCUGAUCCAGCCAUACCGCGUGGGUGAAGAAGGCCUUCGGGUUGUAAAGCCCUUUUGUUGGGAAAGAAAAGCAGCAGGUUAAUACCCCGCUGUUCUGACGGUACCCAAAGAAUAAGCACCGGCUAACUUCGUG